RNAcentral lists this small nuclear RNA (162 nucleotides) under Panthera tigris altaica (Amur tiger). RNAcentral's name for it is "U1 spliceosomal RNA (ENSPTIG00000000928.1)". It matches the Rfam family "U1 spliceosomal RNA". From Rfam's summary of the family: U1 is a small nuclear RNA (snRNA) component of the spliceosome (involved in pre-mRNA splicing). Its 5' end forms complementary base pairs with the 5' splice junction, thus defining the 5' donor site of an intron. The record is from RNAcentral. Lineage: Eukaryota; Metazoa; Chordata; Mammalia; Carnivora; Felidae.
AAACUUACCUGGCGGGGGAGACACCAUGAUCACAAAGGUAGUUCUCCCAGGGCGAGGUAGUUCAUCCAUUGCACUCCAGAUGUGCUGACCCCUGUGAUUUCCCCAAAUGACUUAUUGGAGAAAUGCAAAUUAGAAACUAUAAGAUGUCACUACAUAACUGUC